GUAAGUCUGCUGUGAAAGCCCUCAGCUCAACUGAGGAAGUGCAGUGGAAACUACAAAACUUGAGUACAGAAGAGGAAAGUGGAACUCCAUGUGUAGCGGUGAAAUGCGUAGAUAUAUGGAAGAACACCAGUGGCGAAGGCGGCUUUCUGGUCUGUUACUGACGCUGAGGCUCGAAAGCAUGGGUAGCGAACAGGAUUAGAUACCCUGGUAGUCCAUGCCGUAAACGAUGAAUACUAGGUGUUGGAGGGUUUCCGCCCUUCAGUGCCGCAGCUAACGCAUUAAGUAUUCCGCCUGGGGAGUACGACCGCAAGGUUGAAACUCAAAGGAAUUGACGGGGGCCCGCACAAGUGGUGGAGCAUGUGGUUUAAUUCGAUGCUACGCGAAGAACCUUACCAGCUCUUGACAUCUUCUGCCAACCCAAGAGAUUGGGCGUUCCCUUCGGGGACAGAAUGACAGGUGGUGCAUGGUUGUCGUCAGCUCGUGUCGUGAGAUGUUGGGUUAAGUCCCGCAACGAGCGCAACCCUUAUUAUUAGUUGCCAGCAUUUAGUUGGGCACUCUAGUGAGACUGCCGGUGAUAAACCGGAGGAAGGUGGGGACGACGUCAAAUCAUCAUGCCCCUUAUGAGCUGGGCUACACACGUGCUACAAUGGAUGGUACAACGAGUCGCGAAACCGCGAGGUCAAGCUAAUCUCUUAAAGCCAUUCUCAGUUCGGAUUGCAGGCUGCAACUCGCCUGCAUGAAGUUGGAAUCACUAGUAAUCGUGGAUCAGCAUGCCACGGUGAAUACGUUCCCGGGCCUUGUACACACCGCCCGUCACACCAUGAGAGUUUGUAACACCCAAAGACGAUGGGUAACCUUUUAGGAGCUAGUCGUC
RNAcentral lists this ribosomal RNA (874 nucleotides) under Apilactobacillus kunkeei. Its description in RNAcentral is "bacterial SSU rRNA". It matches the Rfam family "Bacterial small subunit ribosomal RNA", at positions 583 to 1457 of the family's 1533-position model. The record is from RNAcentral. Lineage: Bacteria; Bacillati; Bacillota; Bacilli; Lactobacillales; Lactobacillaceae.